UUACACAGGGCAUGUGAAUUCCUUCUCACUCUGUCUCAUCACUUGAAGUUAAUCACCAUGUUCUUGGGAGAGGCCCUCUUGGGGUUCUCUCAGGUCUUCUAUCAAGAGCCCCCAAAAGAAUGAGGAAUCAAAACCUUCAGUGAGCAACCCUGAGAGUGAGUGGAAGAUUUGCAGGUUUGCAAACCCCACUUCAUAUGUUCAGAGACACUAAUCCAACUAUUUGGAAACAGCAAUCACUCUAUACACAUAAUGGAGCAAUUGGUUCUGGGAUCUUAACUCAGGGAGAAAAUGUUGUUGCAAUUUUUUGUGUCAAAAAAGUGCCAGAAAAGAAGAGUUCAAGUCUGUGAAAUAUAUUAUCAAAAAUUGAAGACAGCAUUACUGCCCAUUCCUGUACUCACUCCAUGAUGUGGACAUGCUUUUCAAAACAAAGCAGAGUCUUGAAUAUUGAGUAUACACACCUGUAAAAUACAGUGAGAGUCACUUUCAUUUUCAAGCAGCUAUAAUGUACCAGAAUCAUUUCUUAGUUAAGCAUCAUGUGUGGCUUGCUCCA
Odocoileus virginianus texanus is the source of this 550-nucleotide non-coding RNA. The record is from RefSeq and is a predicted model, not a curated record. Lineage: Eukaryota; Metazoa; Chordata; Mammalia; Artiodactyla; Cervidae.